UGCCCUCCUCGCCCCGCAGCCCCCUCGUCUGCUCCUCCUCCUUCUCUUGCUCUCCUCCCGCCUUCUACUUCCCCUCGCCUCCUCCUCCUUUCUCCUCAUCCCCCACCUACCCUUCACCUCCUUCCCCUUUCUCCUCCCUCUCUCCUCCUCCUCCUCCUCCUCUCCCCGCUUCUUCCUCCUCCCCACCAUCCCCCCUCCCUCCCGGCGUGCCAGCUCACUUCAGGCGUGACCAUUCUGUCCCCGAGGUCUAUAUCUAAACGUGUGACCCGAUCCGCUAACCCACCUGUAACGCGAAUGAAGCCGUUGUGUGCAAAUUGUGGAACCCGUUUUAUCUUCCAAAACAAAACAAAACAAAUAGUGGGCUAAUAAAUUCAUCCAUCUGUUUACUAAAUUCAUUUAUCUCUAAAUAAUUGCUUCUCUUAUAUAAAAGAAAAAAAUAAAUAUUUUAUCGUACUUUUUUAUUUUCCUAAAUAACUCUUUGAUCAAUUCCGAUUAAAUAAAAUAUAAAUAAUACAAUUUAAAAUGAUCUAUUUUUUAAAAAAAAAGCAAUGUUGUUUUUUUUCUGUUUGUCUUUUACGACAUGAACAAUGUCUGUCCUGUUUUUCUGACUUAUCUUUAUUGGGGCGUUGGGGUAGUAGUAUUGUUCAUUCCUCAUCAUCUCAUCUGUCACUU
This is a long non-coding RNA of Hippocampus comes (tiger tail seahorse), 672 nucleotides long. RefSeq lists it as uncharacterized. The record is from RefSeq and is a predicted model, not a curated record. NCBI's taxonomy places the organism in Eukaryota, Metazoa, Chordata, Actinopteri, Syngnathiformes, Syngnathidae. The transcript is spliced from 2 exons.